GCGCCAGUAGCUCAGCUGGAUAGAGCAACAGGCUACGAACCUGUAGGCCGGGAGUUCGAAUCUCUCUUGGCGCGCCA
Molecule: transfer RNA, 77 nt
Filed under: Desulfovibrionaceae bacterium
Lineage: Bacteria; Pseudomonadati; Thermodesulfobacteriota; Desulfovibrionia; Desulfovibrionales; Desulfovibrionaceae
Description: tRNA-Arg
Rfam family: tRNA
About the family: Transfer RNA (tRNA) molecules are approximately 80 nucleotides in length. Their secondary structure includes four short double-helical elements and three loops (D, anti-codon, and T loops).
Source: RNAcentral